RNAcentral lists this ribosomal RNA (467 nucleotides) under uncultured bacterium. RNAcentral's name for it is "partial 16S ribosomal RNA". It matches the Rfam family "Bacterial small subunit ribosomal RNA", at positions 28 to 507 of the family's 1533-position model. The record is from RNAcentral.
GACGAACGCUGGCGGCGUGCUUAACACAUGCAAGUCGAACGGAAAGGCCUCUUUCGGGGGGUACUCGAGUGGCGAACGGGUGAGUAACACGUGAGUAACCUGCCCUUGACUUUGGGAUAACUUCAGGAAACUGGGGCUAAUACCGGAUAGGAGCUCCUGCUGCAUGGUGGGGGUUGGAAAGUUUCGGCGGUUGGGGAUGGACUCGCGGCUUAUCAGCUUGUUGGUGGGGUAGUGGCUUACCAAGGCUUUGACGGGUAGCCGGCCUGAGAGGGUGACCGGCCACAUUGGGACUGAGAUACGGCCCAGACUCCUACGGGAGGCAGCAGGGGGGAAUAUUGCACAAUGGGUGGAAGCCUGAUGCAGCAACGCCGUGUGCGGGAUGACGGGCUUCGGGUUGGAAACCGCUUUCGCUCAUGACGAAGCUUUGUGUGACGGUAGUGGGUAAAGAAGCACCGGCUAACUACGUG